UCCCGCCAAAGAGGUAAACAGCUUUGUGUCGCACAAAUAGGUAAUUCAUUUUUUUAAUGCAUGUUAUUUAAUAAGGUAGUAGCUACGAAGUAUAAUUAUUUGCGAGUAAAAGAACAGAGUGCAUCGUAUGAAUCAGUUAGUGGUUCGGAUUCCAUCGUAAAUUAAAAGAUGGCUAGCAACUCCGCAAAACUCGGGUUUUUCUACUGUAUGCCCACAUUCAUCGUACCAUGGGCCCAAAGUCACGAUACGAAUUCACCCGAUUAAAUGCAUGUUCAUUUUUAUUACUUUAUGUUAGAUUAAAUAAUUAUAACGAUUACUGUAUUACUUACCGAUUUGGCGAUACUGCCUCAUCGAUUCAAUGAUUGCUUCUUUUUUCGAAUAGCUCGAGAACGGGACAUUGCGUUCUUCGGGUGAUCGCGAGUCGACAAGCACGUUUGUCUAUCUGGGCUUCUCGGCUCACCCGUCUCGUCCUCUCGCACCACUCUCCGGCCAUGAGAGUGAAUUGGGCGCCAGGUACGAAGUACCGCCGAUUACUCGACUUUUAAUUUAUCCGCUCUCAACGAUGGUAACGUCAAAUAAUAAUGUACGACACAGAGGGAACGAGAGACACGCGUGACCGAGGACGGUCCGGCUACUCAGCUCAUCUGAGAUACUGAAAGAGCCUCGAUGAUUGCUCCUGCCUCUGCCUCGAAAAUUGAUGUUAGUUUUAUCAUUUUAAAAACACCUCGGAUUUUGAAUUCUGGGAUAUGGAAGGCAAAACCUAUGUACCCUGCUCCCUUCAUUUUUGAGCCAUCUGUGUAGAUAGGUCGAGCAGGACGUUGGUUGGAGUUGACCUGAAACACCCCAGGAUCAGUCGAAGUGCGGCAUAUUGAACCGUUAUCAGCGAUUGGAAACAAGACCGGUCAGCUGAACUCGAGCACGGGAUUGACCAUUCCAGUCUAGCCCGGAUCAAGCCUUUAUAUAUAGUAAGGAGGGUUGUGGGAUGCACUCCCCACGACUUUUGUGUAAGAGAUUUUAUGAUAUUUGUGGCCUUUGUUGCCUUAUUCUUGAUCUCGUUAAUAAAGGA
Long non-coding RNA from Venturia canescens, 1066 nucleotides. RefSeq lists it as uncharacterized. The record is from RefSeq and is a predicted model, not a curated record. NCBI's taxonomy places the organism in Eukaryota, Metazoa, Arthropoda, Insecta, Hymenoptera, Ichneumonidae. The transcript is spliced from 4 exons.